GUAUUUGUCAAGGGUGCGCAAGAAAAGCAUGGAAUCGAACGCGCGAAGGCACUUGAUGUAUUCUCG
Molecule: transfer RNA, 66 nt
Filed under: Astrosyne radiata
Lineage: Eukaryota; Bacillariophyta; Fragilariophyceae; Cyclophorales; Cyclophoraceae
Source: RNAcentral